Molecule: non-coding RNA, 108 nt
Organism: Acanthosepion pharaonis
Lineage: Eukaryota; Metazoa; Mollusca; Cephalopoda; Sepiida; Sepiidae
Source: the annotation of a GenBank genome assembly
UACGGCUGUAUCAUGUUGAAACACAGGUUCCUGAACAAUCACCAAAGUUAAGCAAUGCUGAGCCUGGUCAGUACCUAGAUGCUUGACCGCUUGGGAAUACCAGGUGCU